ACUAGCUAAUUUCCUAGCCUAGCAACGGCUACUUUCUCCGCUCAGUUUAUUUAGCUAACUAGUGAGCAGUCGACUUAAUCUUCGACAUCAAACUAAUAGUAUUUUUUAACAUUUCAACAAAAGAGGCGUUUAUGCUAAGUCCCCUCCUGUUCCCUGAUUUAAGAGGUGAUGACCACUCCACUACCAUUGUCAACUCUCUCCUGACAUGAACUGAAGCCAUGUUUCAUGUGCCCCGCUCAUCCACUGGCACAUGGAACGUUUCCUCUCCAGGCACUUCAAAUCCUUUCCUGCACUGAAGUCAAGCCUCUGAACA
Molecule: long non-coding RNA, 313 nt
Organism: Coregonus clupeaformis (lake whitefish)
Lineage: Eukaryota; Metazoa; Chordata; Actinopteri; Salmoniformes; Salmonidae
Exons: 3
Source: RefSeq, a predicted model, not a curated record